UACGUAGGGUGCAAGCGUUAAUCGGAAUUACUGGGCGUAAAGCGUGCGCAGGCGGUUUUGUAAGUCUGAUGUGAAAUCCCCGGGCUCAACCUGGGAAUUGCGUUUGAAACUGGAAGGCUUGAGUGUGGCAGAGGGGGGUGAAAUUCCACGUGUAGCAGUGAAAUGCGUAGAGAUGUGGAGGAACACCGAUGGCGAAGGCAGCCCCCUGGGCUAACACUGACGCUCAUGCACGAAAGCGUGGGGAGCAAACAGG
This 253-nucleotide ribosomal RNA is filed under the name uncultured bacterium. RNAcentral describes it as "partial 16S ribosomal RNA". It matches the Rfam family "Bacterial small subunit ribosomal RNA", at positions 524 to 776 of the family's 1533-position model. The record is from RNAcentral.